CGCGCCCGUUCGCGGGCGGGUGGUGAUCGGGAGGCGGCUUAUGACGCCGCCCGCCUUCGCGUUCAAGACGAAAUCGGCACGG
This 82-nucleotide transfer RNA is filed under the name Maricaulis virginensis. RNAcentral describes it as "tRNA-His". Lineage: Bacteria; Pseudomonadati; Pseudomonadota; Alphaproteobacteria; Maricaulales; Maricaulaceae. The record is from RNAcentral.